GUCCUGUCCAGAUGUGUGCUAUUCAGAUCUGUCCUCUACAGAGGACUGCUGUACAGAUGUGUGCAUGCCUUCCCCACGUGUGUGCUUCUGACCUAAUGUCGUAUGCGUGGGAGCCCCCUGUGUGAUAUCCCAUGCAUGUAGGUGCUUAUGUGCCCAUGGGCAUGUCUCGUCCGGGGCUUGGUUUACAUGUGAGUCAGGCAUGACAGCACACAUUCGUGAGGAAGGACAGGGCUCUAGAGACGGUGCAGUCAAAGCCAGCUGCCCCCACCCCCAGGCCCCCGAUAUCGAGUGCUCAUGUGUGGUGUGGCAGUGGCAUGUGACGUGGUAUGUCUGUGUGUGGGAGCUGCGUGUGUGGGUGCCCCGUGGGCAUGGGUGUGACUCCCGGGAUGGCUGGGUCAGCCUCUGUGUGUGUGUCCGUGGCUGCCCCUCCUGUGCCCUGCUGGUGCUGUGCCGCUAGGUCCCUGCACCCCGGGUCCUGGCGGGGGCAGGGCUGUGCCGGGAAGGCGGCUCCUGAGAGGGGGUUGCCGCCUGCUCUUCAUGAGGUCAGAGAAUGUCAAAUCUAUUUUAAGUGGUGAAACUGGAGAAUUCUCAUGUUAUUUUCAAUACAUAGUGUUACCUAAAGACAUAGGCCAUGAGACUAGACCACAUUAAAUGCAUUUUGAUCUCUUUGA
Sorex fumeus (smoky shrew) is the source of this 671-nucleotide long non-coding RNA. RefSeq lists it as uncharacterized. NCBI's taxonomy places the organism in Eukaryota, Metazoa, Chordata, Mammalia, Eulipotyphla, Soricidae. The record is from RefSeq and is a predicted model, not a curated record. The transcript has 2 exons.